Molecule: transfer RNA, 79 nt
Filed under: Podarcis lilfordi (Lilford's wall lizard)
Lineage: Eukaryota; Metazoa; Chordata; Lepidosauria; Squamata; Lacertidae
Description: tRNA.Ile
Source: RNAcentral
GCUUGCAUAGCUCAGUUGGUUAGAGUCUGGUGCUGAUAACACCAAGGCUGCAGGUUUGAUCCCUGUAUGGGAUCCUGCA